RNAcentral lists this transfer RNA (73 nucleotides) under Felis catus (domestic cat). It matches the Rfam family "tRNA". From Rfam's summary of the family: Transfer RNA (tRNA) molecules are approximately 80 nucleotides in length. Their secondary structure includes four short double-helical elements and three loops (D, anti-codon, and T loops). Further hydrogen bonds mediate the characteristic L-shaped molecular structure. tRNAs have two regions of fundamental functional importance: the anti-codon, which is responsible for specific mRNA codon recognition, and the 3' end, to which the tRNAs corresponding amino acid is attached (by aminoacyl-tRNA synthetases). tRNAs cope with the degeneracy of the genetic code in two manners: having more than one tRNA (with a specific anti-codon) for a particular amino acid; and 'wobble' base-pairing, i.e. permitting non-standard base-pairing at the 3rd anti-codon position. The record is from Rfam by way of RNAcentral. RNAcentral also lists the same sequence under 2 other names. Lineage: Eukaryota; Metazoa; Chordata; Mammalia; Carnivora; Felidae.
GCCUGGCUGGCUCUGUCAGUAGAGCAUGAGACUCUUGUCCUCAGAGUCAUGAGUUCAAGUCCCAUACUGGGCA